RNAcentral lists this long non-coding RNA (698 nucleotides) under Setaria viridis. RNAcentral describes it as "long non-coding RNA (SVIR_LNC007816)". Lineage: Eukaryota; Viridiplantae; Streptophyta; Magnoliopsida; Poales; Poaceae. The record is from RNAcentral.
UGGAAUAUCUCUUAUGCUUGAUUCAUAUCUUCAGAAGUCAUCUUUCACCUUAGUCCUUUCUCCUUCACUCAAGGACGAGUAAAGGCUAAGUGUGGGAGUGUUGUUGACAGCUCUUAAGUACCAAAUCUAGACCAUCAACUUCUGCAUAAACACAUAGAGGAUGAGCAUCAAUAGUAGUGGUAGGAGUUAUUACGAAUGAAUUCCAUAAGUGUUGGUGAAUAUUUGUAUGCAGGUCCAUUAAGGGAGAAAACAAACCUCAAAGAGCAAGGAAACAUACUCUUAACCAAUCAGGAGCAAGGACACAGAUUGGAGAGCCCACAUCAGGGGUUAAACUGCCUAAACUUACCGCCAAUCACCCUGUACCCACUUGGUGAUAAGAACCCGCUAGGGUUGAAUCCCGAUCUUUCGAUGAGAGGCAUGGGAUAACUCGAUUUGGGGAUGGAGAUGACCUUCACGGCCUGACUACAACCAUCCAAGGAUGAUGCACCUUAGCAACCGAUACACCAUCUCCAAUUGUUGCCGCGAUCUUGUGAAGCACGAUCAACCAAACUACUAGGGUAAUUCCUGCAAGCAAUUGAGGAAUAAGCAAGAACAAGUAGAACAAGCAACUCAAUUGCAAAUAUAAAGAUAAAAGCCAAUCUGAAAUCAUAAAGUUGGGAUUCUGAAUCGAGUAGAAUGGAUAGUCUAGUCGACACACG